Pelobates cultripes (western spadefoot toad) is the source of this 278-nucleotide non-coding RNA. The record is from the annotation of a GenBank genome assembly. Lineage: Eukaryota; Metazoa; Chordata; Amphibia; Anura; Pelobatidae.
CGCUCACCCAGUCUCCACUCCUUCUAAAAAUUGUUAAAAACCCACUUCUUCAUAAAAGCGUAUCAAUUAAACUGUUAAUAGCUCCUGACGGAUUCCUCUUCUGCAACUGUCACUAGUCUAAUACUAUCCUUACCUUCUGUGUCAUUUUACCCCACUCCUUCUAGCAUGUAAGCUCAUUGAGCAGGGCCCUCAACCCCUCUGUUCCUGUGUGUCCAACUUGUCUGGCUACAACUACAUGUCUGUUUGUCCACCCAUUGUAAAGCGCUGUGGAAUUUGAU